Molecule: ribosomal RNA, 560 nt
Filed under: uncultured eukaryote
Lineage: Eukaryota
Description: SSU rRNA
Rfam family: Eukaryotic small subunit ribosomal RNA
Source: RNAcentral
CUGGUUGAUCCUGCCAGUAGUCAUAUGCUUGUCUCAAAGAUUAAGCCAUGCAUGUCUAAGUAUAAGCAAUUAUACAGCGAAACUGCGAAUGGCUCAUUAUAUAAGUUAUCGUUUAUUUGAUAGUGCCUUACUACUUGGAUAACCGUGGUAAUUCUAGAGCUAAUACAUGCUAAAAACCCCGACUUCGGAAGGGGUGUAUUUAUUAGAUACAAAACCAAUGCCCUUCGGGGCUCUUUGGUGAUUCAUGAUAACUAUACGAAUCGCACGGCCUUGCGCCGGCGAUGGUUCAUUCAAAUUUCUUCCCUAUCAACUUUCGAUGUUUGGGUAUUGGCCAAACAUGGUUGCAACGGGUAACGGAGGGUUAGGGCUCGACCCCGGAGAAGGAGCCUGAGAAACGGCUACUACAUCCAAGGAAGGCAGUAGGCGCGCAAAUUACCCAAUCCCGACUCGGGGAGGUAGUGACAAUAAAUACUGAUACAGGGCCCUUUCGGGCCUUGUAAUUGGAAUGAGUACAAUUUAAAUCCCUUAACGAGGAACAAUUGGAGGGCAAGUCUGGUAAU